Long non-coding RNA from Macrobrachium nipponense, 576 nucleotides. RefSeq lists it as uncharacterized. The record is from RefSeq and is a predicted model, not a curated record. NCBI's taxonomy places the organism in Eukaryota, Metazoa, Arthropoda, Malacostraca, Decapoda, Palaemonidae. The transcript is spliced from 3 exons.
UCAGGACAGAAUCUUUCGUCGUUGUUGUUACGACUUACGAGUUUAAAAGUGUUUUUUUCUUAAAGGCUUCAUUGCGUUCAGUCAUGGCUCUUUUAGAGGAGAUGCAUCGUUUUUCUUAUUCACAUUCGAAGAAGGGGUUCCAUGAAGUCUCUGAUGUUGCUACUUGCAUAAUCAGGGAAUCUUCAGAAUCCUCUUAGGGUAGAUGGAGCACCCAAAGUUUGCUCUUGCUCAUAUCGGUUUCCCUACACCAAGUGGGAAGACCAAUAUUCUUCAAAGAAUGGAAAUGAAAGAUGAAGUGAAGUGGUUGAUUUCUGCCGACUUUAUAAGAACACAGCAACAGAGGGCAGCAGCAGAUUCCGUAAGAAUACUACACCUCCCAUUCAGCCAACUACCAGGAAGUCAAAAUGGCAUUACAUAUUUUGAGUAUCUUUUAAACUCAUAUUUCUAAAUUACUUAACUGAAAAUUGAACUUUUGUAUCGAAAUAUGUAAAAUUAUACUAAUAUCCAUUCCAUUAUGAUCAGUUUAAACUUUUGUAUCGAAAAAUAUGAAAUUAAACUAAAAAUCCAUUCCAUUAU